Long non-coding RNA from Tripterygium wilfordii, 1174 nucleotides. RefSeq lists it as uncharacterized. The transcript is spliced from 3 exons. The record is from RefSeq and is a predicted model, not a curated record. NCBI's taxonomy places the organism in Eukaryota, Viridiplantae, Streptophyta, Magnoliopsida, Celastrales, Celastraceae.
ACCCCAUCUGAUGUUGCUGAUAUACCUGCUCCUGUUAUGGAUCAUGAUGGCAUUGAAAAUUUUGUUCAUGAAUUACUUGGUGUGCAUAAUUGUAAUGACAAUAUCAUUGAUAACAGUGAUGAUCAAAACCAGAGGAGGGAAAGGGGCAAUACAAGUAGGAAUUCAUUGAAUGAAUAGUUUUAUGAUCUGAUUAGUGACGCAUAUAAAUUUAUCCUGUGUGCGAAAAGUAUAGUAAAUUGUCAUUUAUCAUAUAUUUCUAUCGUAUAAAGACUCUUUGUGGAAUGACUAAUAAGGCAGUGACAAUGAUGGAUUAUGGUAUACAGUGAAGGUUUUCUCUAUACGUCAUUUAGUGUUUUCUCUAUAUGUCACUAUUUAAAUGUUGUAACAUCAUCUCAUGUCAUUUUAUUUUAUGUAGUACAUUCUGAUAUGGACUUGUUUUAUUUGGCUCUAAUCAAAUGCAUGUACAGAGGAAGAGUGAGUAAAAUAGGAAAAAUCAUUCAAAGCAAACUUUGCUUCAUACUGCUGCUACAAAGAGCUUUGCACGAGUUGUUGCUGAGAUGGUAAUCAAUAAAAUUGUUGAAUUUGUUUGCUAUUGCCCUAAUAAAGCUAUAUUAUACUAUUUCUUUUAUAUUGACAAACUAAAAUAGAUGGUGUGGCUCUUUUACGUGCCAAAUUAUUUAUCAAGACACACACGUAAGGAUGGCAUUAUUCUCACUGAAGACACUCAUGAAAAGAUACAAAAGAUUCAAGAGAAAAUCACUCAAGAUCCAAAUGUUGGGAUCUCAAAUGAAGAUGACAUAGGUUGGAGCAAAGACAAUGUUUAUUCUGAAGUCUUUGGAGAUGAAAAAAAUGGUCGUGUAAGGGGUGUGGGUCAUGGCCCUACUCCAUCUCAAAAAAUUGUUUCAUCCCUCGUUCAUUAAAAGGUGUUUCCAUCGUUUCAUCAUCAACAAGUAGCAGAUAGUCUACUUUAGUGAUGGAACUUACGGAUCGACUAGCGUCAUUGGAGGAUAAGUUCACCAAAUUCAUGGAUGCCUUUCAAUCUUAUACUACUAGACAUGGUGAAUCAAGUGAGCAUGUGGUAACUCCAAAGACUCAUCUCCGUUCUUCAAGCUCUAGUCAUGAUCUUGUCAAUCAAGUUGAACAAUGUAAGUCACAAUUUCGAUCAACUUACAUG